GCCGCGGUGGUGGAACUGGUAUACACGAGGGACUUAAAAUCCCUUGCUCUCGGGCAUGCGGGUUCGAUUCCCGCCCGCGGCA
RNAcentral lists this transfer RNA (82 nucleotides) under Patescibacteria group bacterium. Its description in RNAcentral is "tRNA-Leu". It matches the Rfam family "tRNA". Rfam says of the family: Transfer RNA (tRNA) molecules are approximately 80 nucleotides in length. Their secondary structure includes four short double-helical elements and three loops (D, anti-codon, and T loops). Further hydrogen bonds mediate the characteristic L-shaped molecular structure. tRNAs have two regions of fundamental functional importance: the anti-codon, which is responsible for specific mRNA codon recognition, and the 3' end, to which the tRNAs corresponding amino acid is attached (by aminoacyl-tRNA synthetases). tRNAs cope with the degeneracy of the genetic code in two manners: having more than one tRNA (with a specific anti-codon) for a particular amino acid; and 'wobble' base-pairing, i.e. permitting non-standard base-pairing at the 3rd anti-codon position. The record is from RNAcentral.